UACGGAGGAGGCAAGCGUUAUCCGGAAUUAUUGGGCGUAAAGCGUCCGCAGGUGGCCCAUCAAGUCUGCAUUCAAAGCGUGGGGCUUAACUCCAUAACGGGUGUGGAAACUGGUGAGCUAGAGUUCGGUAGGGGUCAGGGGAAUUCUCAGUGUAGCGGUGAAAUGCGUAGAUAUUGAGAAGAACACCGGCGGCGAAAGCGCCUGACUGGGCCUGAACUGACACUGAGGGACGAAAGCUAGGGGAGCGAAAGGG
Molecule: ribosomal RNA, 253 nt
Filed under: uncultured bacterium
Lineage: Bacteria
Description: partial 16S ribosomal RNA
Rfam family: Bacterial small subunit ribosomal RNA
Source: RNAcentral